This 368-nucleotide ribosomal RNA is filed under the name uncultured Glomeromycotina. RNAcentral's name for it is "SSU rRNA". It matches the Rfam family "Eukaryotic small subunit ribosomal RNA", at positions 677 to 1046 of the family's 1831-position model. Lineage: Eukaryota; Fungi; Glomeromycota. The record is from RNAcentral.
GUACUAGCCUGCCGAUUCCUCCUUUCUUGUAGAACCGUAAUGCCAUUAAUUUGGUGUUGCGGGGAAACAGGACUGUUACUUUGAAAAAAUUAGAGUGUUUAAAGCAGGCUAGCGCCUGAAUACAUUAGCAUGGAAUAAUGAAAUGGGACGUUCGAACCUAUUUUGUUGGUUUCUAGGAUUGACGUAAUGAUUAAUAGGGAUAGUUGGGGGCAUUAGUAUUCAAUUGUCAGAGGUGAAAUUCUUGGAUUUAUUGAAGACUAACUACUGCGAAAGCAUUUACCAAGGAUGUUUUCAUUAAUCAAGAACGAAAGUUAGGGGAUCGAAGACGAUCAGAUACCGUCGUAGUCUUAACCAUAAACUAUGCCGAC